UGGGGAAUAUUGGACAAUGGGCGAAAGCCUGAUCCAGCAAUGCCGCGUGUGUGAAGAAGGCCUUCGGGUUGUAAAGCACUUUAAGUUGGGAAGAAAAAAGCUCUGGCUAAUAUCUAGAGCCUUGACGGUACCAACAGAAUAAGCACCGGCUAACUCUGUGCCAGCAGCCGCGGUAAUACAGAGGGUGCUAGCGUUAAUCGGAUUUACUGGGCGUAAAGCGUGCGUAGGCGGUUUGAUAAGUCGAUUGUGAAAGCCCCGGGCUUAACCUGGGAAUUGCAGUUGAUACUGUCAGACUAGAAAACGGUAGAGGGAGGCGGAACUCCAGGUGUAGCGGUGAAAUGCGUAGAUAUCUGGAAGAACACCGAUGGCGAAGGCAACCUCCUGGGCCUGUUUUGACGCUGAGGCACGAAAAGCGUGGGUAGCAAACAGGAUUAGAUACCCUGGUAGUCCACGCCGUAAACGAUGAGAACUUGACGUUGGUUUGCUUAGC
RNAcentral lists this ribosomal RNA (490 nucleotides) under uncultured bacterium. RNAcentral describes it as "partial 16S ribosomal RNA". It matches the Rfam family "Bacterial small subunit ribosomal RNA", at positions 355 to 836 of the family's 1533-position model. The record is from RNAcentral.